AGAUUCACUACCAUCUAUAUUCACACAAGCAGAGUAUUCUCGAGAAGAAAUUGAUGAGGUGCGAUCGGAGUUGGCAGAAUGUAUACAAGAUCAUAUUUAUGAGUAGGAGAAAUGCUCAAACUACAUGGUAGAGAUGGCAUGGAUAGAAAAUGUGAGUACUGAAUGAUCACAUUCAUCCCAAUAUAAGAUUUUAUUUAGUAGUAUUAUAGAUAAGUUCUAACAUUGUUUGGAAUAAUUUCACUUAUCACUUAAAGUGAAAAUAAGUUGAUUUGUAUACUUUUUCAUUCUUGUAAUGCUUAUUCGUUAUGAGU
Long non-coding RNA from Zingiber officinale, 311 nucleotides. RefSeq lists it as uncharacterized. NCBI's taxonomy places the organism in Eukaryota, Viridiplantae, Streptophyta, Magnoliopsida, Zingiberales, Zingiberaceae. The transcript is spliced from 3 exons. The record is from RefSeq and is a predicted model, not a curated record.